Molecule: small nucleolar RNA, 130 nt
Organism: Drosophila elegans
Lineage: Eukaryota; Metazoa; Arthropoda; Insecta; Diptera; Drosophilidae
Product: small nucleolar RNA psi28S-3316
Exons: 1
Source: RefSeq, a predicted model, not a curated record
UGCACCUAAAAGCGUUUUCUUGCCAGCCUAUUAAAUGCUCUUGAAAAUCGUAGAUGUGUGCCAAAAAAAUCCACACAAUAGCAUGUGAUUUUAGUUUGCUAGCUCUAAUCCGUUUACUUUGUGUACAAUC